Molecule: transfer RNA, 74 nt
Filed under: Phycisphaerae bacterium RAS1
Lineage: Bacteria; Pseudomonadati; Planctomycetota; Phycisphaerae
Description: tRNA-Arg
Source: RNAcentral
CCCGGAGUGGCGAAAGACGCUAGCGUUUUGCGAUGGCGUUGAGCAGCCAGGCGUUUCUUUCGCCCCUCCAGGGC